AAGACAUUCAACAAGCAGUUGUUGGAUAUGUAUAUGGUGAAUCUACUUGUGGACAGAGAGCUCUUUAUGAAUUAGGAUUAACUGGGAUUCCAAUAUACAAUGUUAAUAAUAACUGCGCAACUGGCUCUUCAGCUCUAAUCCUUGCAAAGCAGCUUAUACAAGGAGGUAUGGUUAUAAUAUUUAACCAUUUUUUGUACUUUCUAUGAACCACUGCAAUGUUUUGUUAAUGUGCUUUAAUUUAUGAACUUGGGACAGUAGCCGCAAUGCAAGUAGUGGGGAGCAAAUUGCUCAACCUACCAUUAACUUCUAUAAGGGAAAACGUUACUAAAGGGGCUAUACAAACACCCCAGAUGUAAUUGCUAUUGGGGAGGAAACGGAUAUGAAAACCCCCCUUUCCCUAUUAUAAGCCGAUGCACAAAGAACGAACAGGUCUCUUGUAAUGAGGCUUCACCAAGCAAAGGCUUCGUACGUUAUUCAGAACCCUUAGAUACCUCUAGUUCAACCUAGGGGAUAGAAACAAUAUGAAACCACACACCUUUCCAUAGUAUUGUAAACCAAAGUCAGAAGGAGGGCAAAGACUCCACAGUAUAGUGCAUAAUUUUGUAGAAAGGGGAAAAGGAAAAACGUUAGGAAGCACGUCACAACGGACCAUCACGGAAAGGGAAAAAUUAAAACUCAGGGCUUAUUAAUUAAAGGAAAACGCCCUUUGUGAAAUUAAACAAAGUUAGAAUUGAUUAAUGCUUUACAAUUUUUGCUUCACCUUAAUUUAAUUGCCAGUAUACCCUUUUAGGAUUAUUUGAUUAUCCAAGUUUUCUUUGAGAGUGAUCUCCAUAUAGCCACAGAAUAGGAAAUAGGCAGAAGGGUAACUCUCGUCGGUUCCUUUGUUGUUUUUGAAGCCUGAGUCAAUAAUAGAAUUCCUUAAUUCCCCUUUAACCUCGAUUUCAUUAGACGAGCUUAGCCAUGGCAAAUUAUUAUCCAUUAAUCAGACAUGAUACAUAAUUGAAUUUGUUCACUAUCAUGGGGCAUUUCGUCUCAAAUAAAGUUGUCUACUUUCCUUCUUUUUCAAAAAUUUCCCCGACACAUGCUAAGCCUCGUAUAAGUUAACGCAUGCAUUAUUUUUUUUCAGGCUUCUCCUGAUAGGCAGGAGUUCCCCUUUUGCCUAAUUUCUAUUCUGUGAUAUAGCAAUGGUCUCCGGGUUAAGCUCUCAGUUUGAGAAAGAGAUUAUACCAAAGGCAUAUUAGGUCUAUAUAUAAUAAUAAUAAUAAAUAAUUUGUUUAAAGUUGGCGUACUAAAUGAACGGUUUAUAGCUAUAGGGAAGCUAAUUAAGGCCAACUAUCUAUAAAGAGUUAGUAUGAAAUAAAAAUAUAUGAUACAAUAUUAAAAAGGUUUAAGGUAUAAUGUUCUAAAUAAAACCUAACCCAGCAAUAAAUUUUUUACACAAUCUACAGUCGCAUUCUAUAGGGUGUGCUCUUAAUUCUUUUUUAAAUGUUGCCAAUGAUUGGGACUCUCUUAUACUGUGAGAUAGUGUUUGCCACAGUUUUUGACCUAAAUAUCUCACAGUUUCUAUACCAUAAGAAGUUGUCCUGGCUUUUGGAAUGCAAAGAUUAUUUUUAGUUCGCAAAUCAUAAUGUACAUUUCUUGUUUCAAAAAUUUCACUCAUGAAACUAGGAUUCAGGUUAUGUUUCGUUUUGUAUAUUUCUAUCAUCAAAUACUGUAGAUUGCGUUGGUGAAUUGAUACUGCAUUAUCCAAAGUCAGCAAUGCUUCGUAGUCAGCAUUACUGUCUUUAUAAACAAUUCUGAGUGCUCUGUCGUGGAUUUUAUUUACUUUAGCAUUCAGACAUCUGUCAUGGAACAUCCAAAUUAGGGGGCAGUAACUAAACUGAGCUUUUAUGAAGCUGUUCAUUAGGAGACGCAGUUUAUCAGAACCCAUAAAUGGCGAAACUCUAGCAAGAGCAUGCAGUUUUUGGCUGGCUCUUUUGCAUAAAUUUGAGACGUGACUUUUGAAAUUAAGAUUUUUAUCUAUUAUCACCCCUAGAAGUUUUUCUUCAGAGCUUUCUUCAACAAUGGCCUCACCGAUUUUGAUCUUAAGGUCAUCUUGAUUUGUUCCAAAAGUAAGAAGAUGACAUUUCCCUGCAUUCAAUUUCAUAAAGUUUUCUGGAAACCAUUUUGAUAAAAUAAGAGCAUCAGUUUCUAGCCGUUCUAAAACUUUAUCUAAUUGACAGUCAGCUGCAAAAAUCGUAGUAUCAUCAGCAAAGUUACAUACUGCAGUAUCAGUUACCAUUAAGAAUAAAUCAUUAAUAUAUAAAUUAAAGAGAAGAGGCCCAAGGACUGAUCCUUGUGGUACACCUGCAAAGGUUUCUCGCCAAGUGCUGAAUGAACCAUUUAAUUUUACCCUUUGUCUUCUACCGGACAGGUAAAUAUAAAUCAAUAAUUGAGCAUCUUUACAAAAACCAUAGGCAUUUAAUUUCGCAAUUAAUAGCUCAUGGUCUAUGCAAUCAAACGCUUUUGAGAGAUCCAUUAGCAAGGCACCAACCACCCCUUUUUAUCUAGGGAAUUCUUGCAGAUAUCCAUUAAUCUCAACAGCGCAUGCUGUGUGUUGAAACCUUUCCGAAAACCACAUAAGUAGGGAACUAGGAACGUAUCCGCGAAGUCGACCAUCUGAGCAUAUAGAAGCCGUUCAAAGACCUUUGAUAAUGCGGAUAGAACGGUGAUAGGUCGAUAGUUUCGUUUUUCUGUAGUUUUGUCACUUUUGAAUAGUGGAGUUAUGUCUCCUAAUUUAAGAUCUUCAGGAAACGUUUUCUGGAGCAAUGAAUUAUUGAAAAUUGUCGUCAGUAAUGGUGCAAAAAUGUCUUCGUUUUCUUUCAGUAUCCGCGGAGGAAUACUUUCAAUAAACGAUUUACCGAUUACUAGCGCCAUUAUGAAAUGAGGGGAAAUUUCACUCGCCCCAAGCCC
This is a non-coding RNA of Rhopilema esculentum, 2952 nucleotides long. NCBI's taxonomy places the organism in Eukaryota, Metazoa, Cnidaria, Scyphozoa, Rhizostomeae, Rhizostomatidae. The record is from RefSeq and is a predicted model, not a curated record.